UGGGGAAUUUUGGACAAUGGGCGAAAGCCUGAUCCAGCAAUGCCGCGUGUGUGAAGAAGGCCUUCGGGUUGUAAAGCACUUUUGUCCGGAAAGAAAUGGCUCUGGUUAAUACCUGGGGUCGAUGACGGUACCGGAAGAAUAAGGACCGGCUAACUACGUGCCAGCAGCCGCGGUAAUACGUAGGGUCCAAGCGUUAAUCGGAAUUACUGGGCGUAAAGCGUGCGCAGGCGGUUGUGCAAGACCGAUGUGAAAUCCCCGAGCUUAACUUGGGAAUUGCAUUGGUGACUGCACGGCUAGAGUGUGUCAGAGGGGGGUAGAAUUCCACGUGUAGCAGUGAAAUGCGUAGAGAUGUGGAGGAAUACCGAUGGCGAAGGCAGCCCCCUGGGAUAACACUGACGCUCAUGCACGAAAGCGUGGGGAGCAAACAGGAUUAGAUACCCUGGUAGUCCACGCCCUAAACGAUGUGCAA
This 469-nucleotide ribosomal RNA is filed under the name uncultured bacterium. RNAcentral describes it as "partial 16S ribosomal RNA". It matches the Rfam family "Bacterial small subunit ribosomal RNA", at positions 355 to 816 of the family's 1533-position model. The record is from RNAcentral.